RNAcentral lists this signal recognition particle RNA (96 nucleotides) under Phascolarctobacterium sp. RNAcentral describes it as "signal recognition particle sRNA small type". It matches the Rfam family "Bacterial small signal recognition particle RNA". Rfam says of the family: The signal recognition particle (SRP) is a universally conserved ribonucleoprotein involved in the co-translational targeting of proteins to membranes. Archaeal SRP consists of a 7S RNA and homologues of the eukaryotic SRP19 and SRP54 proteins. RNAcentral also lists the same sequence under 1 other name. The record is from RNAcentral. Lineage: Bacteria; Bacillati; Bacillota; Negativicutes; Acidaminococcales; Acidaminococcaceae.
CAUCGGGUCCACGCAAUAGGAUACUGUGAACCGGGUCAGGUCCGGAAGGAAGCAGCCCUAAGCGGAGGAAUAUGUGCCGUGGGCAGCCCGGUGGCC